RNAcentral lists this ribosomal RNA (464 nucleotides) under uncultured bacterium. RNAcentral's name for it is "SSU rRNA". It matches the Rfam family "Bacterial small subunit ribosomal RNA", at positions 26 to 518 of the family's 1533-position model. The record is from RNAcentral.
AGGAUUAACGCUGGCGGCGUGCCUAACACAUGCAAGUCGAACGAGGUAGCAAUACCUAGUGGCAGACGGGUGAGUAGCGCGUGGUCAACCUACCGUUGAGUGGGGGAUAACUAGCCGAAAGGUUAGCUAAUACCGCAUACGUCUCCGAGGGGCAUCCCUUGGCGAUAAAAGGAGCAAUCCGCUCGAUGACGGGACCGCGUCCCAUUAGCUAGUUGGUGGGGUAACGGCCUACCAAGGCAUCGAUGGGUAGCUGGUUUGAGAGAGCGACCAGCCACACUGGGACUGAGAUACGGCCCAGACUCCUACGGGAGGCAGCAGUGAGGAAUUUUCCGCAAUGGGCGAAAGCCUGACGGAGCGACGCCGCGUGUGGGAAGAAGGCCUUCGGGUCGUAAACCACUGUCGAAGGGGAAGAUAAUGACGGUACCCUUGGAGGAAGCCCCGGCUAACUACGUGCCAGCAGCCGC